AGAGUUUGAUCCUGGCUCAGAACGAACGCUGGCGGCAGGCCUAACACAUGCAAGUCGAAGGAGAAGCCGGGCUUCGGCCCGGUGGAAACUGGCGCACGGGUGAGUAACGCGUGGGUAUCUACCUCGGGGUGUGGAAUAACCGCUGGAAACGGCGGCUAAUACCGCAUACGCCUUCAGAGGGAAAGCUCCGGCGCCCUGAGAGGAGCCCGCGUUGGAUUAGCUUGUUGGUGGGGUAACGGCCUACCAAGGCUACGAUCUAUAGCUGGUCUGAGAGGAUGAUCAGCCACACUGGGACUGAGACACGGCCCAGACUCCUACGGGAGGCAGCAGUGGGGAAUAUUGCGCAAUGGGGGAAACCCUGACGCAGCCAUGCCGCGUGUGUGAAGAAGGCUCUAGGGUUGUAAAGCACUUUCAAUGGGGAGGAAAUGGCCAGGGCUAAUACCCCUGGUAGCUGACGUUACCCAUAGAAGAAGCACCGGCUAACUCCGUGCCAGCAGCCGCGGUAAUACGGAGGGUGCGAGCGUUAAUCGGAAUUAUUGGGCGUAAAGGGCGCGUA
RNAcentral lists this ribosomal RNA (556 nucleotides) under uncultured bacterium. RNAcentral describes it as "bacterial SSU rRNA". It matches the Rfam family "Bacterial small subunit ribosomal RNA", at positions 8 to 573 of the family's 1533-position model. The record is from RNAcentral.